UACGGAGGGCGCAAGCGUUGUUCGGAAUCAUUGGGCGUAAAGCGCGUGUAGGCGGACUGGUCAGUCGGGUGUGAAAUACCGGAGCUCAACUCCGGAACUGCAUUCGAUACAGCCAGGCUAGAGUCCCGGAGAGGGUGGUGGAAUUCCCGGUGUAGAGGUGAAAUUCGUAGAAAUCGGGAGGAACACCAGCGGCGAAGGCGGCCACCUGGACGGUGACUGACGCUGAGGCGCGAAAGCGUGGGGAGCAAACAGG
Molecule: ribosomal RNA, 253 nt
Filed under: uncultured bacterium
Lineage: Bacteria
Description: partial 16S ribosomal RNA
Rfam family: Bacterial small subunit ribosomal RNA
Source: RNAcentral